AGAAACGGUGGAUUUAGAUAAGGGUUCACUCUUUUGUCUUGCUCUCCUAUCUUCUCCUCUCUCCUAUCUUCUCCUUCUCUCAACCCCCCUCUCCCCUCCCUCUCUUAAUUUUUUGGAAUCCCUAGCCGCCAUGGCUGAGUAAAUCUUAGCAAACCUUUGGGUAAGGGUGGGUUAUGAGCAUCAAGGAACGGAUCUAAGGGUUAUGAGUUAGAACAUAUUUGAUGUGAUAGAUUUCUGUCAGUUUUUUCUUAGGUUUUUAGGUUUUUAGAUUUCAAUUUUUGAUUGUCCCUGCUUGAUGGUUCCUCUACGAUUUGCAGCUUCUUUCUUCCAUCUAUUGUUGUUUUCUAUUUUUUGUUGGUUUUUAUUUCUUCUGAUGUUUCUUGGAUUUGUUUCUUCCCUUUUAUUCCGAAAUUCUUUGGUCUUUCUCCUCUCUCUUGUUUGUUCCUUCUUGUUUCUUAGGUAUGGUAUCCUAUUCUCGGUUCCCGAUUCUUGGUUCUUUUCUAGAUAUGUUUGUUGUGAUUCGUGGCCUUUGUCUCUCUAGACUAAUUGUUCUUGAUUUUGCUCUUAUUAUUAUUCUCAAGCGGUCUCUUUUCUUUUAUCCUUUUCCUAGUUUGUAGAUCUGAUUGUUUGUUUGCAAUCCUUUACUUCCUCUCUCUGGUGGUUUCUUAUCUUUCGCUUUAGUAUAUGGACAAUUUUAAUUUUACUGAUGUCUUUCAAUUUAUUUCUCUUCUGUGCUUUAAUCUCUCAAUUUUUUAAUUUAUCUUUAUGCCUUUUCUGUGGGUGUUCUUGGAUUCAUUUAAAUCUCCAAUUUGUUUUGUUGUUAUAAUCAACAGGAUGUUUCUAAAAAUCUUGUGCUAAGAUGAUAAAAAUGUAUAUCUAUUUUUCUGGUGAUAGGUGUAUUUCUAAAAAGCAUCUUGGUAAAUAUGAUUCUAAAAUGUGGAAGGUGUCUCGUAUCACCAUCAUUCUUGUUUGUUUGCGGUACCUCCAUCUCUGUCUUGUUUCUUUGAGUAUUAGCUCUCUUCACCUGUUUGUUGUUGUAAGUUUGGCGGUUCAUGUUUCCUCUCUAUUGCCUCUCUUUUACUAAGAUCUGGGUGGUCUACCCCUUUUCUUUUUUGGAUGUUUUGUUUCUUUUUUGUUUGUUAUUCCCCAUCCUCUCUUUCAUUUUCUAGUCUUUUGUCUCGGGAUUCUUUGUGCCCGUAAUCUCUGUUCUUAUAUUGAUUACUUGAAUUUCUAUAAAUUCUUUGUCUAUUGCUUAUGUGCUCAUGUUUAGUUUGCACCGGUUUCCUUUGGUGCUACUAGUUUUGUUAUUGGAUUUCUAUUGGAUUUAGUUUUGUGUCUCUUGUGUGUAUGUCUCCAUAGUGCUUUUUUGAAUUAAAUAUAGGUGUCAAAUAGUUUUAAGAGUCUUUUGCUUCUGCUUUUGACUUUGCAUUUUCUUUUUGGGAAUUAAUCAUCACAUCUAUAUUGCUCAUUUCCCUCACAUCUUUACCUUUGCUCCUCUGACCCAACAGAGCCCAAAGGUACGCUAGCCUCAUUUUUCUGCUUUCCUUUAUUUUUUAAUCCGUUUAAUAGUAUCUACUUUACUCUUGCUAAGCCUAGGAACUAUAAUCAUCGGAAUCUGCUUAAAAUUACAAGCUCAGGAGUGUAUUUGUAUCUUGGCUAAACAAGGGCCUUUUUUGUGAACUUAAUCUUCUUUUAAGUACUUUAGCUUUAUUUUAUUUUUAUUUUGAUGGCAACAUUUGAGGUUCAUUAGUGCUUGUUUUUCUUGUUGCUUUAAGGAUACUUUAUUUUCCAUGAUUUCUCCGGUUCCCUUGUAUUUUUCAUGGAGAUGCCUAAAUGCUAGAUAGCUUAGUAGUAUUUAUCAUCUGAACUGUGCUUAGCCCUAAAUUUUGCUUAUAGCGAAUUUCCUGUUAGUGUUAGUUGCAUUUUUAAAUUAUUUCAUGUUUAUUAGCUUUCCCUAAUAUUAUGUAUUGUGUUUGUGUUCGGAUUUUGUGUAAUUUAACCUACCUUUGUGUUUAUUCUUGGAAUAGGAAAAUGAAAACUCCUGUGAAACUAUCCUUUUAAGUGGACUCUUUUUAAGAACUAAGGGUGAGUCCUAAUGGAUAAAGUUACAAAACUAUCCUUACCCUUUAUAUUCUUAUUAUCCUAAAUCAGUUUUCAUUUUUUUCAUUUCAUCUUCUUCUUCUCCACCUCUACCUUACCGGCUCUUCCUCCUCCACCAUUGAAAACUCGUCGAUUAAUUCGUCGUAAUCGUCGAUCCGAAAAUUACGAUUAAUCAUCAAACAUGGAGCCACCUCAUCAUAGGGAUAGUCGUAUGAAAGAAGCAAAUAGAAAACAAAAUGAAUAUAACCCUGGAAUUGCAAAAUUAAUUCAACAAAAAGAGAAGAAAAAAGCGGUUGAAGAAGAAGAAAUCGAAGCCGCUGAAAAAGGAGAAAUAACGGCGAUUGAGAAAGUUGGAAAAUGGAAAGAAGAAAAAUGUUACUCCUCCUUCAAGACCUCCUCGUUUUGGUGAUAAACUCUUGACUGCCACACAUAUAGGGGCAUUAGUUGAUCCGGGAAAGAUCAAGAUCCGUGAACUGAAUAAUUCUCAACCACCACCAAAACUAAAUGAUUCAGAUGAAACUCCAGAUGAAGACCAAUCAAUUUUAUCUGUUAGAAGACAUGAUGAUGAUGUUGAAAGAACUCCAGCUGCUGGAGGAAGUAACAAUGAUGAUGAUGAUGGUGAUCAAGACAUGCCACCUAUUGGAGGAGGUAAUGAUGAUGGUGAUAAAAAUAAUGAUAAAUAUAGAGAAGGUAAAAUUGUUGAAGAAGAAGAAGAAGAACGUGAAGGUGAAGAAGGUGUAGAAAAAACAGGUAAUAAUCAACAAACCCAAGAUACAACUACGACUAAAACUGGAAAGAAGAACAUGGUUAUCACUAAACCAGUUGAUUCUCACAUGCCUCCCUCUCACUUGAAGGUUACACUGGAACCAGGUGAGCCUCCGCAGGGGACCCCAGAAGAUGAUGGAUAUGUUCUUUUUGGAUAAAAUGACUCAUGAGCAUGUGAAAUCCAAAAUACUGUCAUAAGAUCACAAGCAUGUCAUCCGUCUCUUGAGGUGCCAAGCUUCAUGUUCAGUGAUUAAGAAAUGGCCACUUGACAAGGAAUGUGACGAGGUGCAAGCGAUUGUCAAGAACUCCGGGUUAUGGCAUGCGGUGUAGAGUCGAUUGUUGAGUAUGAUAGAGUUACCAUAUCUGCAUUUUGUGAGAGGUUCUACGGAGAGACUGAUACAAUGUUAUUCACAUUCGGUGAGAUGACGAUAACUCCCGAUGAUGCUCAUCAAAUUGUAGGCCUCGAGGUUGAGGGAAAAGCAAUCAGUGAUGGCUACGAUGAUGGUAUUUCUAGGGACAAGAUCUUCGAAUUGACCAAAUAUUUGUUUUGUUGGAAUCAGGUUGAGACAUAGUCUAUGCUUGUGUUGAAGGAUGGUUAUCUAGAAAAGAAUUUUAAUCUGAAGAAGUUAAGGGACACAUUCUCUAGAACCAAGGAAAUCUAUGAUAAGGAAGGAAGGGUGUACUUGGUGCGAAUCAAUGCUACCGCAGUAGCCUAUUUGUUAUAUGUCCUGGGCAAAUUAUCUUCCCCGACAGUUCAGGAAGCUUGGUCGACCGCAAGUAUAUUCAACUAUUGCAUCCCUUAGAUCAGAUGCAUGAGUAUUCUCGGGGUAUUGCGGUGGUCGCCUUCUUGAACAAUAAGUUGACAAGGGAUUCAAGGGCACUCACUGCGCAAGUCAACGGAAAUCUAUGUCUCUUCCAGGUUUGGAUAUAUGAGCACUUCCCUACUUUAGUGAAAGCCAACCCCUAUUUCAAAGUGAAUGAGAAGCUUGCGAUUGAUAAGCCAAUAGGACAAAGAUACCUUUUUAAGGGUGGUCUGGAUAAGGAUAUGUCGUAGCAGCUUAUCAAAACUCGAAUCGCCUUGGAAAAAUUGACUGCAGAUGACGUAAUAUUUGAUCCGUAUCGAGUUGCUAGAAAUGAAGGUUUAAUACAAAGGAGAUAUGAAGUUGCAUUCUAUUACGGUACCUUGUUGUACCCCCAUGGAUUUUCAAUGUACGAUCCACAUCGGGUAAUGCGACAAGUGAGUUACGUCCAAGAAGAACCUCAUACCGCUGAUGAUCCAUUCUUUAAAGUGGUAAGGAAUGACCGCACCAUGUCCCAAAAAAGUAUUGGCGUCCAUUACGCUCCAGCACCAGGUACAUCUCAUUGGAGGGAAAGACAAAAGCAUAAAAUCGAUACAAGUCUUUUGGACGACGUGACCGAAGGUCAUGAAGAUCAUGAGAAUUACAUGCCGUAGUACUUGGGUUGGGCUUGUCCUACUAUGAUUAGGGAACAAACUGCUGAACAAGUGGCUCGUAAGAGGAAGAUGGCAGCGAAAGACCCGGCAACAAGUCUUAAAUACUUUGUAAGUAUUUUAGAGGUUCUCUUACUAUUUUAAGAUUACAUUAUCGAAUCAUUCUAUUAGUUGUUUGUUAUUUAAUUGAAAAUAGAAGGAGUAUUUGAAUACCCUUGUGAAGGUGAUGUGUUGCGCUAGAGAAAUAUGAGAGCCUUUGUCGAUUGAAGAGCAAACCAAGCACAUUGAUGAUGCUAGCAAUGUUGACAAUGAGGAUGAAAUCGAAUUGUUCCAGCAAGCUAAUGCUGAAGUAAAGAGGGAAGCACAAUCCAAGAGGGAAGUACAAGCCAAGAUGAAUGCCGACAAAAAUAGGGCUUGUUCCCAUGGUGGUGGUAGUGGUAGCGGUAGUGGUGGUCGUCGUGAAAAUGCUAAACGGGGCCGUGGUCGUGGUGGUGGUGAUGAAUGAAUGCAUUCCUAAUUUAUUUGUUUAUGUUGUGGUAGACAAAUGUUAAGGUUAAUGGUUGGAAAAAUGUUUUUUUUUAAGGUUUA
Molecule: long non-coding RNA, 4903 nt
Organism: Papaver somniferum (opium poppy)
Lineage: Eukaryota; Viridiplantae; Streptophyta; Magnoliopsida; Ranunculales; Papaveraceae
Exons: 4
Source: RefSeq, a predicted model, not a curated record